Dreissena polymorpha is the source of this 5469-nucleotide RNA transcript. It is a transcript of the gene named endonuclease/exonuclease/phosphatase family domain-containing protein 1-like, with no coding region annotated. The record is from RefSeq and is a predicted model, not a curated record. Lineage: Eukaryota; Metazoa; Mollusca; Bivalvia; Myida; Dreissenidae. The transcript is spliced from 11 exons.
CUUAGGUACGAGUUGACUGGAAACCGUUGGAAUAAUCUCCCCUUCUGAUCGCCCACGAGCUUUCAAACGGUUGAGAUCCGGUGCCCAAGACAGGAGAAAAGUGAACCUUAUUGAUGGGGACCCCAAUGUUCAUCGGAUUAAGGAUAUUCUUCCUGACGAUAUAGCUGUCAAAUACCUGCCAAUCUCUGGUGCCAAAUUUUCUUGUGAUCGUUUUCGCCAUGCAUUGUUGAGAGACUUGCGGAAGAUGGAUGUUCAACAGCUGUAUCUUCAUCUAGGCUCAAAUGACAUUCUUACGAAUGAAGCGGUGUUUUACCGAUAAACCUCACAAUCCUAUGAUCAACGCAGGAGCCAUCGCAGUCUGUUCUCUCUUAAAGCAGGGCGUCAACUUGGUCGACCGAUUUAAUUAUAUGCUUCCGAUGUCCUGGGUCGCACUCCACUGCAUAUGGCGGCAUUGAAGGGACAUCAAAACAUCAUUUUACUCUUGGUUCAUUUCGGGAGUUAAGUGCGAGCCAUAGACAAUGACGGCAACAUUCCACUGCAUUUAUGUGCCUAAAUUGGACAUGAGGAAUGAAAGCCAUUCUGUUCUUGGACAGCCAAAAGAGGCGUGUUAAUGUAAACGCGGGCAAUGAUAUGGGAGAGACUCCACUGCACUUGGCUGCUAAGUGGGGAUAUGAGUAACGAGUACAAUGGAUUCCUGUAUGAUGAAAUGCAGGGUGUUGACCUAGUAAGCUCUAUCCUCCUGGCUAUGGACAAGAAACAGAAACCCUUCACUAGACGACCCUGCAUCUCUACGUUCAAGAUUUUAAUGAUCUUCGAAAUCUAGGCUAUCACAAUUGUAUUGCCGACGGUGUCUUCACAAACAUAAGCGACGCCAACAAAAAAGGCAGCAAGACAUACGAUAACAUCUGGAUAUCUAAACAGACAAAACAAGUAUUCACUGGUCAAUGUGACGUCGUGAGAGAGGGCCUGUCCAGUCCCUGGAUCCCUAAGGGCUGGACGUGGGGCGGGGUUGUGAGUGACCACUGUCCAGUGUGGGCCCAGUUCUACACGGGCCGUGACCUUGACACUGGAGACCUGAAAAUCGGACCAGAGGUUAUUAAAUUUGUACUGACUGACUGAUGUUUUGUAAAAUAUUAGAAUAUUACACAUGUUACUCUGGUUAUGUGACAGACAUCAUUGAUAUCGAAUUGGUGAUGCAAUUCUUCAAACAGUAAACAGUGAAAAUAUUCCACACUUUUCAUUAUGUUAUUGCUGUGAAAAUCGCCAUUUAAACUACUUUAAAAUGGAAGCCAAUAAUAAACUUAUAAGACAAAAUUAACAAGCGAUUGAACAUUUUUGUGUUUUAAUAUCAGAAAUAUUCUCUUGGUCAAAUGUUAACAAUUUAUUUAGCAAAUUUGUUCAACAUGUUAUGGUACGUGAAGUUUGGAGAUGUUGAUGUUAUUUUAUGUUUUGAUGUACUGCUGAUUUCACAUUAGGUGUACCAUUCUUGUGAAUGUGGAAAAUAGUGAAUGCAACAUUUGUUUUUAAGUAGAUUAUGUGUUCAUUGUUAUAGUAAAACUCUCAAUUCACAACAUAUGAACCAAUAAACCAUAUUUUAUUACUUACACGUGAAUGUCUACCGCUAAUUAUAAUUCUUAAAAGUUUUGCUUUAAUGUCAGAAAUAUUUUGUAUAAUUCUUAUUUCAAUAUAGCUUACAAUACCGAUUAGAUUGUGUUAAUAUGUUUGAAUACACAAAACAAAUUAUAUUUAUUAUAUUAUCAAAAUUUGAUAACGUUUUGUUGUUUUAACUUUGAUAUAGCAUUUCUGCUGAAUUUCACCAUUCUUGGGAAUGUGGAAAAUAGUGAAUGCCACAUUUGUUUUCAAGUAGUUUGUGUGUUCAUUGUUAUAGUAAAACGCUCUUUUCACAACAUAUGAACAAAUAAACCAUCUUUAAUUACUUGCACAUGAAUGUAUACGAUAAUUAUAAUUGUUAUAAGUUUUGCUUUAAUGUCAGAAAUAUUUUGUAUAAUUCUUAUUUCAAUGUAGCUUACAAAACCAUUUAGAUUGUGUUGAUAUGUUUGAAUACACAAAACAAAUUAUAUUUAUUAUAUUAUCAAAAUUUGAUAAGGUUUUGUUGUUUUAACUUUAAUAUUGCAUUUCUGCUGAAUUUCACCAGUUUGUAUUAUUACUUGCUUCAUUUUAAUAAUUUAAUGAUCAAAAUAUUUUAUGAUAGCAUUUUUCGAUUGUGCAUUGUGAAGUUUCAAUUUUAUGCAGUGCAGUGUAGAGCGGAAAAUGCAAAUUUUUAAGAAGCACCCGUUAAAUGCAUAAUUGUCAACAUUUAUUUGAUCCUGUGUAUUUAAUAUUUAUAAAUGAUAUUAUGUCUUAUUGAAAUAUGUAAUAAUAUGUAUAUAGUUCCCUGUAUGAAUUUGUUAUAGAUUAAAAUGAAAUGUUCUGUUUCAUUUGGGAAUAUUUCAUAGACUACCAUGUUUUUGUCUGUUUAAAUUAAUUGUAUACAUUGUUGUAUUUUGAACAAUAUUAACAUUAGUAUUAAAUGAGCGUCUAGCAAUAGCCAAAAGUAUGUAUCGGGAUAAACUUAUUUUAUUUGGGUUCAUUAACAUUCAAGUAGAAUGCAUUUUUAAGGUGUUUAUUAUUAGUAUGUACCGUAGGACUUUAAGAUAAUAUUAUUUUCAAUAAUGUAGUUGUAUUUUGCUAUUGUUUGUUAUUGCUAAAUAAAAAUUAGAGUUUGAUAUAGAUAAUACUGGGACAAUGCUACAUAUAUAUGCCUAACAGAAUGUGUCCUGCAUUUAGAAAGUGACUUCAUAUAAACAUACUUGAGCUGUGAUUUGGAAAAAUAUGUAUUCAAUACAUGUGCGUAUAGGAUUGCCCCAGAUGAGUCUUAUGAAGUCUACGAGCGCUAAUAAGGGACGACAGUUUCUCUUGCUUUUAUUAAAUUUCAGUCUUCAGAAGUAAAUUAGGGGCCAUUUAUUAUAGGUCAAUAUUUAUAGAUUUGUGGAAGUGUAUACCCAGCUUACAUACCCUACCUGGAUUCCAUUUCGAGCCAGUUGGGUUAAAGUCUAUGUCACUAUUAUUAAAAUUAGACAAACUACACUCAGUAACACCGCUUUUAUAUUAGGGUAUUGUUCCUAAAUUGUAUGAAUUGUUAGCUCACUGCUUUUAUAUUAGGGUAUUGUUCCUAAAUUGUAUGAACUGUUAGCUCACCGCUUUUAUAUUAGGGUAUUGUUCCUAAAUUGUAUGAAUUGUUAGCUCACCGCUUUUAUAUAAGGGUAUUGUUCCUAAAUUGUAUGAAUUGUUAGCUCACCGCUUUAAUAUUAGGGUAUUGUUCCUAAAUUGUAUGAAUUGUUAGCUCACCGCUUUAAUAUUAGGGUAUUGUUCCUAAAUUGUAUGAAUUGUAAGCUCACCGCUUUUAUAUUAGGGUAUUGUUCCUAAAUUGUAUGAAUUGUUAGCUUACGUGUAGGCCUAGCUUGGGAAAACUAGAUACAAGUCAAAGUCACUGUAAGUUAAUUAAAAACUUCCGCUUACAAAACUUAAAUUGUAUGAAGAAUUUCCGCUGUUUUUUGUAGGUGUAAGUAGAUUCCACGCAGUCUUAGGUGAUGUAAGCGUGUAUUUCAAUCCCUCUGACACCUUACAUGUAAAACAGAAUUAGUUUGCAUUAUAAUUAAUGGAGUCUUAUAAUGUGAGCAUAUUGUUCCUACUGAAAAUGUUUGUAAGGACAGUGUGAAUUGCAAAAUAUUGUUACUUGUCUUUUAUUCAAGAAAAUACUGUGGGUAUACCACGUACACUACUUUAUGUAUGGACCCACCUUUUGUCUUCUUGAUCUCGACUGCUCAGUAUACAUGUUUUCCUUAUACUUAUUUCUUAUUGCAUUUGAUAAAUGUUGUAUUGAUGAGGAAGAUCAAAUGUUCAUUAUACUGUCUUGAACAAGUUUAGGUUACAGCUAAUUUCAUAAAACAAAAUUGCCACUUUUUAUUAUGUAAUAUGAAACUUUUAUAUGUGUCAUAAAAUACAACAGUGUACGAAACCAAUUUGCCAAAACACUUUUUAAUUUUAAUUUCUAAAUCUUGUAAUAUAUAAAGGUGUGUCUUUUGUGACACUAUAUUAUGUUGGCAAUGUGUGCUUAUUAGUUUCUAUUAAACGCACAUGUUAUUAUUUAUUUAAAUAAAGACUAAUAAUAAAUAAUGUAAACUAUUUACUUUUUUGAUAUUAUUUGAAAUGACCAUUUUCCAAGUAUUUGUAAAUAGUCCUACAAGCUUUUUUUGUAGUAUUAUUUACUAACAUUAUUUCAUGUUCCUUAUAGGCACAUUUAUUUAUUUCGAACUUUCUCCCUCGGUAUUCUAACCAGGUCCAAGCGGGUAAGGUUCAUAUCUUUAAAACACAGCAUUCACGGCAAACAUCAUCCUAAUAUAUACAUUCACAAUAGUACUGUGUCAUUUUCAUCAUGGAUAUCAUACGCCUUGCGAACUUCAAUAUAAAAUGUUAGUAUCUGCAAUUUAUAUUUAUUGAUUGCUCUCCCAUGUCGUAAAACACGCGUGUUUAUCGAAUUGUAUUUAUACAUAUUUUUAUGAACAAAUGCUCAAAGGUUGCCUGUAAUAUAUUGAGGAUAUUUGUUGGAUUCGAUGGGAUAUCGAUUUUAUUAUGCCCCCAUUUGAAGAAGAGGGUGUAUAUUGUUUUGCACAUGCCGGUCUGUAUGUCAGUCCGUAUGCCCGUAUGUCCGUCCACCAGAUGGUUUCCGGAUGAUAACUCAAGAACGCUUAGGCCUAGGAUCAUGAAACUUCAUAGGUACAUUAAUCAUGACUCGCAGAUGACCCCUAUUGAUUUUGAGGUCACUAGGUCAAAGGUCAAGGUCACUGUGACCCGAAAUAGUGAAAUGGUUUCCGGAUGAUCACUCAAGAACGCUUAUGCCUAGGAUCUUGAAACCUCAUGGGUACAUUGAUCAUGACUCGCAGAUGACCCCUAUUGAUUUUCAGGUCACUAAGUCAAAGGUCAAGGUCACAGUGACCCGAAAUAAUAAAAUGCUUUCUGGAUGAUAACUCAAGAACGCUUAUGCCUAGGAUCAUGAAACUUCAUAGGUACAUUGAUCAUGACUCGCAGAUGACCCCUAUUGAUUUCAGGUCACUAGGUCAAAGGUCAAGGUCACAUUGCCAAAAAACGUAUUCACACAAUGGCUUCCACUACAACUGACAGCCCAUAUGGGGGGCAUGCAUGUUUUACAAACAGCCCUUGUUUAACGAGUGAUCAUAUAAAAUAAUAUGUUCACGAGUGGCGCAACCAAAAAUAUAUUUUCUAUGAUCACGAGUGAAUUAAAAUCGAUAUUCCAUCGAAUCCAACAAAUGUUAUUUUUAUUGUAUGAUUUUUUCACCGUUUAUUUACAUUGUAAAAGAGUCUGACUGGAUAAUAUUGCUGGAUUUAUGACGUCAUUUUGUCGAAAAAUUGUUGUCAUUGCACAGUUAAACAUUUAAAAAUAUUGAUAUU